RNAcentral lists this long non-coding RNA (600 nucleotides) under Vitis vinifera (wine grape). Its description in RNAcentral is "long non-coding RNA (VVIN_LNC006385)". Lineage: Eukaryota; Viridiplantae; Streptophyta; Magnoliopsida; Vitales; Vitaceae. The record is from RNAcentral.
ACGAGGAAUGGAUAAGAAAUAAUGCUCGAGCAAAUGAAAGGAAUAGGCGGAAUGACAGGCCUCGUAAUUUUGAUAGAUCAAGGAACUUCGAAAGAAGAAGGGAAAAUAUGCAGAACAGAGAUUUUCAAGCUCCUAUGCAAAACUCACCUCCCAACAUGGGUGGAGGGCCUCCUCCAAACAUGGGUGGAGGGCCACCUCCAAACAUGGGUGGAGGGCCGCCUCCGAACAUGGGCAUGGGUGGAGGACCACCGUCGAACAACUUUGGAGGGCCGCAGAACAACUUUCGAGGAGGGCCACCCAACAACUAUGGAGGAGCACCACCAAGCAACUAUGGAGGGGGAGCGCCACCAAGCAACUAUGGAGGGGGAACACCACCAGGCAACUAUGGAGGAGGAGCGCCACCAAGCAAUUAUGGAGGAGGAGCACCACCAAGCAACAUUGGGGGAGGAGCGCCACCAAGCAACUAUGGGGGAGGUGCGCCACCAAGUAACUAUGGGGGAGGAGCCCCACCAAGCAACUAUGGGGGAGGAGCACCACCAAACAACUAUGGUGGAGGUAUGCCACAGAGCAAUUUUGGAGGGGGAAUGCCACCUAACAACG